GGGGGUGCGGGGGGAGGGGGAUGCAGGCACCUCACCGGCACACUCUGGUGGCCAGCUGAAGUUUAUCGCUUUGGCUGAGAUUUUCCCUAGUGCUCUACAGAGUUCUAACGGGAGGAAACGACCAGAAACCCGAACCCGGGAUGCGGCAUUUGGUUUUGGAUUUUAGGUCCUUCCAGACAAUACAGGAAAGCUUCAAGGACUUUGCUUGGCGCACAGUGGCACACCUCCCCACCCCUUGGUUCCUCCUGCCUGUGAUUCAGUGUUGGACCCUGAGACCGGAGAUGGGGAGCCCCAGUUGUAGUCCCCGGUGCCUGGGACCCCUGCACCCUGGCAGAGCCACCUGCGCAUGCACAGAUAUGGUGACUCUCAGAAAGAUGCCAUUUAACUCAUUUGCUAUGGUUCCCUCUCCCCUAUGGGUGAUGGAUUAAUCUGGUGGUAAAUAAAAAUGCCUAUCUAAA
Molecule: long non-coding RNA, 458 nt
Organism: Perognathus longimembris pacificus (Pacific pocket mouse)
Lineage: Eukaryota; Metazoa; Chordata; Mammalia; Rodentia; Heteromyidae
Exons: 2
Source: RefSeq, a predicted model, not a curated record